Panicum virgatum (switchgrass) is the source of this 944-nucleotide long non-coding RNA. RefSeq lists it as uncharacterized. The transcript has 2 exons. The record is from RefSeq and is a predicted model, not a curated record. Lineage: Eukaryota; Viridiplantae; Streptophyta; Magnoliopsida; Poales; Poaceae.
CAAUUAGUGAGGAGAGAGAGGCCCCCGUCGUCUCAGUUCGUCGCCGGGUCGAGCGCGGGCUCCCAGGCGACUCGACGACCAGCGCCAGCGUGGUACGAGUACGAGGACCGUACGACUCGAUGCGGCAAGCCGACGGCGGCGAGGAUCCGCUGCGCGCGGUCGCGGAUUUCGUUUGCUGCCAAAGGCAGAGAAGGCAGCGGCGGCCCGAGAUUUGCUCAAGGCGGAUUCCGCUCGGAUGCGCAAGGCUGCAGUGGUGCAAUCCCGGAAGGCCAAGGGGGCAGAUUCUUCGGCGGAUUCGCGGCGAGCGGCGACGUAGAUCAGGAAGGACCAAGGGGGAGCUUCGGCGGCGGUCACCAAGCAGAGAAUUUCGAGCGGAGCGGUGGACCAGAGGACUUCGGCGAGCAGAGCAGAGGAGUUUUUUUUUUUUAUCAAAGCAGAGCAGAGGAGUUGGGGUUGUUAGGGGAGGUACUCCGCCAGCCUCGUUCACAGAUGGGAGUUGCUUCUUCAACGGCGUCGGAAGCUGCUUCGCCGGCGCUCCAGAGAGUCUAUGUAUGUCUCAAUCUGGUGAUCCUGCAACAUGGUCUCAAUCUGGUGAUCCUGCGCAAGAGCCGAAUUGAUGCACGCGGGAGCCGAGCGGAGCUGGAAUGGCAGCGGGCGUCGAAUGGCAAAUGGUGGACAUAGGGCGUGGGGGCGCACGCCGGCGCCCCUAGACCCAGGGUCCAUCGAAUUUUUUUUCCUGGGUGGGUCAUGAUGCAAUUGUUCCACAUGCGUAUAUUUUUAAUGGUUCUGCCUCUUCGUAUGGGCUAACGAUACCAACUAAUCUUUUUUGAAUAUGAUUUAAAUUGUGAAAUCAAUUUUAGAUAUAUGAAGGUCCUUGGAUGUAAUUAGUGGACUCGCAUUGCGAGGUUUACUUUAUCAAUGAUAGAUUUCCGAUAAUUCCGAUA